Apus apus (common swift) is the source of this 8164-nucleotide long non-coding RNA. RefSeq lists it as uncharacterized. The record is from RefSeq and is a predicted model, not a curated record. The transcript is spliced from 8 exons. NCBI's taxonomy places the organism in Eukaryota, Metazoa, Chordata, Aves, Apodiformes, Apodidae.
UAGGUGCCUUCCUAGAAGAGACUCGAGGAGGCUUUGGAGAGGACCAGGCUUAUCCCAGGCUCCUGAAGAAGAGGCACUGGGAGUCUGACAUCAGCUCUAAGAUCCCUCCCUGGCUGCUCAACAGAGAGAAGAAAUGGACCUUCCUGUAAAAGCUUUUCAGGUUCCUGUGGAGGAGUAAAAUAGCCUAAAGAUACCCUUGGAGAAUGUCUUCAACAAGUCAGUGGGACUGCUCACACAGAACCAAAGAUUGGGGCCAAAAUAGGAAAAGAAAAGGAAUUGAGGGCAGAAGCCACAGCAGAAAGAACUAAGAUGCCAAGUGAACAUACCAAAAUCAACUUUGAGAGCUUUGAUGAAUAUCCAAGAGCACAGCGAACUCCCAGAUCUAGUCACUUCUUGUGCAUUUGGACUUCUGCAUGCAAAGGGACAUAAAGGGACAGCCUGGUUGGGUAUGCCUGGUGGGAAACAAAAGCACUGAGUGGGCAUGAAUGUACAUGGGCUUAUGCAUCACUCGUUUUGCAUAUAUACAUUUGCUCUCUACUUAGAUAGCAAAACUGGUUCACAAACUCAUAUCCCUCUGCUUAAAUAACAAAGUGCCUUUUUCAGACAGCAAACUGUCUGAGUCCACAGCAGAGUGAUGGGGGAUCAGGUAUAAGAAUUUCUUCUCUAUGUGGUGUGCACCAGCAGUUGGUUCUCACUAGUCUGUCGUGGACUGACUUCCUUCAGCGCACACCAUUUGUUGAAUACUCGUAACAAAUACCCUCCAAGAUAGCAGUGGUAUGUCUCUCUGGAAGUCACUGAUGACAGUUGGCCUGUCCUAGAUCAGGAGCAGAGAGUUUGCCUCUGAGGGAACAGGAACACUUCCAGAGAUACCUGUGAUACCAUCUUCUGCUCUGUUCACAACUGGAUCGAACCAAUUCUUGUUCUGAUCCAGAAAAUCAGAAUGAGGUGAGAAAUCUUGUUCCUAGAGAAUGAUUUCUACACAAGGGAAUAAAGUAUGUUUCCUACUCACUGCCAGCAUGGAUAUUUUUCUUUGCCCUUCUUCAGUGUUAAGUUGACCAACUUAAAUCAAAACUUUAUACUUCAAAUAGUGAAGAAUCUGGGUACUAAUUGGUUCCUGUGGUUUGAAGUUUUGAGUAGCUGAAGUUUGAAAUAUCAAGUAGUCACUUAUGGAUUUUGGAAGAAUGAGCACAUCUUGUUCAGCAAAGAACCUCAUCAUUUUUACAUAAUGACAUGAUGUGCUGGAUUCACCUGUAAAAACAAAUUUCUAGGCUUAAUGGUAUCCUGCACCAGAACAACCUAUAUAGAAGGUACAUGAGGCAAAACAACAAGUUUAAGAAUCUUGUGCAAGCAACAUGUAGGCUUUUGAGUAUGUUUGGUAGACAUGUAAAUGUGUAUGCACACACACAUGCAAAUAUUCUCUGCUUAUACUCUUAUUUGUGAACCACUUUUCACUCUCCUUAUAUUAUUGUAUACCUUUAGGUAUGUCAGUAAUACAACAUUUAUGUUGUCUAAAUGUUGGGAGGGAAGACAGGGGUGGCUCAACCUGAGCACUGAAAGAGAGAUCCAAGACCUGUAGCACAUUUGAAAUCUGCUCUUCCAGAGGCUGUAGGGAAAUUUGAGAGAAACUCUGCUAGAGAGAGAGAGAGAGAGCAAAGCACUAGACUUUUUUUUUCCCUUCUAAAUAAAGCAUAGAACAAGCUUUUAACUGCCUUUUCUCCAUAAUAGGUACUUAACCCUGUUCACUAACAUUGAGAGGAAAAAAAGAAAAUUCCAAGAAAAAUUCCUAUUCAAAGUAAAAAAUAUAAAUUAAAACAACGUGGGCAACACACACCCUUUUCUUUCUUUCCCGUUUUGUUUGGUGUUUUCUAGCUCUGCUUUUUGGACAGCUGAAUGGGGGCUGGGAAAGUGUUUACAAUAUUUUCACAUGAUUGAGAUGGCAGAGUUCUUGCGCUCUGUGAAAGGCCUUCUGUUUUCAGAUGGCAUUGAAAGUUUACCGUCUUUCCAGACAAAAGGAAGAGAGCCCGUUGCCAGCAGAUGAGUAAUGGGCAUGGCCUCCGCACAAUACCUCUUAUCCAGUCCUAAAUCUACAUGGUGUUCUUAGGCUUCCCGGCUUCUCCAAAGCAACCUUUGUCUCUGCUCUGGGAGACCAAAACUGCUCGUUGGGUGAGUGGGGAUGCAGCCAAGAGGGGAAAGUUCGGUGACAACAGUUGCUCAGUGCUCACUGCCCAGUAUCUGCCUUCUUACUAUGCUGCUAGAAUAGUUGGAAACCCAUCAACAACUGGGCAUCUUCUAUACAAAUAUGUUGCAGACCAUCUGUAUAGUUUUCAGUUCCAGAAGAUUCCAGUAACUCACUAAGUUUUAAUACCUUUUUUUUUUUAAAUUUUAUUUUUCCUUGUUAAUCUGAUGGGCUGCCCUGAGAUAAGUGAUUAGCAAGAGCCUGCCAUAAUUACUUCGGAGCUAAAACUGCACAGAAGUUGCCAGUUCUUGUAUUUUUCUUAGAAGCAACUUGAAGCAGGCAUUUUCCACUGUAAAUAAUUUUUAGGUUCUAUUAAGUAAUUUCUCAUUUUUUUGUAAGGAACAAAUCUUUUGGUGAAAAUUAUUGCUGACAUAUUAUUUCAAAAUAUUAAAUAGACAAUUCUAAAGUUUUUUUUUCCAGUGAAUUUGUGCUCUUGUUGGCAUUGCAGAGACCAGUAGGAGUCAACUGUUUAAAACAGCAUUAAAAUAAUCUGGCUUCAUUUCCUCUGCUGAAAGAGCAAGUCAGCUGAAACUCGGACUUUUUGCUGAAAGGGAGGGGAGGCGAAAGAAAAAAGAGGCAAAAUGAACUGAGGCUUUUCCCCGUUUGAGAAACAAAUCUCUUCACACAGAGCACUUGAGGCUCCGGAGGCUUCCAUGAGAACCUGACAUAACAGGAUCCGGGCUACUCUGUCAAUUCUUAUUCUCACAUUGUACCUCUGCUAAGAGUCUCAGCUGCUGCCUCCUCCCAAGCUGUGCAGUCCAGACAUCCACGUGCCAGGAGCACAGUGCAAUGAAGGUUCCUCAAUGCUCCUGAGGGAGAAGUCCCUUCCAGCCUGCCAACAGUGAAUAUUAUGCACCUCAGCCCACAAAGAAUUUAGCUAAAAACUUUCUUUCUUCUGAGGAACAAAACAACAAGGUCUGCUUCAGUCCAUUCUCCAAGUAACAGUGGUUUUCUUUAAAAUAUAAUGAACCAUGUUGCAUUUAUGAGAGCUGCCUGGUCAAAUCAUAUCACUCCUGUCACCCUACUGAAUGCCAUGUUGCACUACCGAAGUUUGGACUGAGAACUGAUUGCUGGCUUCAGCAAGACUGGAAAGGAAAGGAAGACCUGGACAUACUGACUAUAUCUAAACUAUUAAAUAAAAUUAGUUGGAGACUUUUCCUGGAGGCCAGCUGGCAAGAAAGAGCUUGCAUGCACACAGCUAAACUCUCUUACUCUCUGAAUCACUGUGGCCACAUCCAAAAUACCUAUUGGACAUGGGCCCUGACCCAGGUUAGUACCCAAACUGUGCUUCAGCAUUGUCUGGAAGAGUACAAGCAGGCUUGGUCCAGGACUACACCAAGGACCAAUUUAGUAGUAGGGAUAGUUUCAGGCCCGUUCCUUGUUGGUUCUCUUUAGUUUAUUUAGUGUCAGAGUGAAACCUCAGUAACACUGCCAAGAGUCAACACAAAACCCCUAUUGGCCUCAGGGACCAUAAGCCACUGAGAAGUAGAGCAGUAUCAUUAGUUUGUUCACUUCCUUCACAUUUCAAUUCUUUUUUCUCUUGUUCUGUUUUGUUUGUUUGUUUGUUUUUUCCCAAGUGGGUACUGAAAUGAAUGUUUUUAAAAAUCUUGUAGAGUUAAAACUCAGUUGUUGCCUACUCAAGAACUUCUGGUUAAUUUUGAACUACCAAGAGGUUUAUCACACAAGCUGAGGUUCUGGAAAAGCCAGCUUCAGGUCUUUUCCAUGAUGAAGGAUCUCCUACAGCUUCAAGCAAGUAAGAUCUUCUAUGACUCAGCACCACUUUUGGAUAAAGGGGUAAAAAGCUGAAAGGUGUUGAGAUACAAACACACCAGGUACUCAGUCACACACUAAACUGAUGUGAACGUAGAAGUCCCUUUGCUUUCUGUGGUAAUUUUUUUCACAUGUCUGGGAAUGGAAUUUAUUUUAAACCCUUCAAAAUGGACACAAAGGAAUUCAACCCUGUAUCAAGGUGUUUUCACAGAGCACUUGGAUAAGCCUGAGGUGUCCUGUAGUGUAAGAGUUUUUGUGGGGGCUGGUGCUCUGUGUUUCUAGGGCUAGCUCUGUGAGCCUGGUACUCCAGUUAGCCCAUGUAACAUUGUCCUUCGCAGUACUAUGUUAUAUUUCUGCCUGCAGCAAUAUAAAUAAGAAUCAGGCAAUUCAUGCUAUAAUAUUUUCCUCUAUUCAAAAGAUAAAUAGCGUUGGAGGCCAGUGAACGUUUAAAAAGCUCAUCAUACAAAAAUAUUAUAUUAGGCCAUGCUGUAUUACUGAGAUUACAUUAAAAGACUUGCACGUAUUGAAUUAAACCAUGAUUUUCCAAUGAUCUCAGCAGCAGCAGAAUAGAGACAUUUUAAUCAUUGCAUUAUCAGUUUUGUAGGUAACUACUAUACUGAAUUGCUGCUCAAAAUGAAAAACUGUAUUGUUUUAUCCAGAAGGUUUCUAGUUUCUAGCACUAGCCUUUACUUUUCUUAGAGCUCAGACAUAUGAUUGAAUUACUGAAGCUGACAAGUACUGAUUUCAACGACAUUUAAGCUAAUGCUUUUUUUCCUCAGGUUUAUUACAGGCUAAGAGUGUACUGUUAAUUAAUGUGGUCAUUUGAUGUGCAGCACCUUGCUGGACUAUGAGAACUUGAUUGUGUGCUUUCACCCAAUGUUCCUUUUAGGUUAGAAAAGACUCUUUGUUUCUUAAUUGACCUAUUCAUGGAUCAGUCUCAUAGAACAGGCUAUGGAGCCUGACAUGAACAUAGUCAUACCUGGCCUGGGCUGUGUGAAUCUUAUUUAAUGAAUAUGUUACAAAGAGCAGAAUAGACUUGCUGCCCAGAAUGAUUUACAUAGAAAUUGAUCACAGUUUUCUGAGCUUGACUUUGAAAAGCAGGAAGUAUUACAAAGCAGAGGAGGAACAUUUGACCUAAUCUACCUUUGGUUCCCUUUCCCUUCCCUUUCCAUGGUGCCCCUCAAGCCUGAAGCACUCUCCCAUAGAUGAUCACAUGUGGCAGUGACUCUACUCAGACCAAUUGAAACCAUUGCAUCAGUUAAGGUUUGCAAGGCCGUAUUGUGUUUAUUUUUGCAGUCUGAUGUUGAGAGAAGCUGAGGAGGGCUUGCAUCUCCCUCCCACCGAUAACAGGCUGUUGGAAGUGCUCAGUUCAUUCCAGGGCAAAGCCUUGAAGACUGCGGGUUAGAGAGCCGCUAACGCUUUUCUGGAAGUACAUGCAGAUUCUUUUGGUUUUCACUCGGGAAAAGCCUGGCUCUCCAUUAAAAAAAACAACCAAAAACAACCAAAACCCAACAAACCACGACAAAAGAACUCAAAACCAUCAAUACACAAAACCCCAUUGCAGUAGUUGUAGUGGCCCAAACAAAACAUAAAAAGCCCAAUCUCAGCCUAAACACUCAGUUUGAGGAUCCUCUGGAAUUAGACAGAGGCUUGAAGUUUGACCCAGGGGGAAGCCUCUCAUGGUCUUUUCAUUGGCAGAAGGGUACAGGCUCUGCCCAUGUGUGAGUGGCCUGCGAUGUGUGAGGGUGUAGCCCAGUGGCCUGGUAGUAUUCUCUGCUUGCUGGCAGAGAGUAUCAGCAUGGGCCGGAUGCUUAUUCACAACGGAUAGGCUGUGAGCUGUGCUAUGCAACAUCAUCCCAGGCUUAAUUUCAAGCUCUUUUUGACCCUCUUUAGCUUUUUUUAAAGCUGGAACCUUUCAGCUUAUAUUAUCUUUCUAACAAUUCUCUUUUUUUUUUUUUUUUUUGUUUUUCUCCUACUUUCACAAUUGAACAUGCUUUGCCAAACUCCCCACUCCAACUUCUAUCCACCCCAUAUGUUUAUAUUUUCCUAUUGCUGAGGCAUGUUGUGCUGACCUGCCUGGACAGAGCUCCUUUAUCACAGAGAUAAACAUGAUGUCCCCCUCACAUAGAGUUUCUAUCAUGUGUGACCUUUCAUCUUGAACUGCCAUGACCUUUUUUUUUUUUUAUUAAUGCUGUACUGUGCUGCUUGUAGAAGCCAAGAAAGAAAAUCUUUUGUUUCUAGACAGAAUACUGCUAAAGGACAUGAUACGGUCUUGUUUUUAAUCCAGCUAAUUAAAAUCUGCAUGUGCAGUGUAACUGAGAAUGCAGCCUUCGCCCACCACUUUCCCACAGGCAGGGAAUAAAGGCCUUUAGUGCAGCAGCAGCUAGCCACCCUUGGAUAACAGAGAACAGAGCCCACAAUUCAUCCCAGCUUUCCUUAUCAUAUCUGUGGAGGGCUUUCCCUUCACUCCCUCCCUCCUUCCCUCCCCGCCUCCUUCCCUCCCUCUCUUUCCAUGGAAUCUCUUACUGUAGCUAUGCACCUCUAUACAUCACAAUGUAAUCAAGUUGAAAAUAUGUUAGCUUUCAUUUAUCUAUGCCCUGUGUGCUCUGAAUAUAAUUCAUUUCAAGUAAAAAAAACCAAAACCAACAACAAAACAAAAAAACAAAAAAGACAAAAAAACAAGGAAGAGAAAUGAAAAAGAGAAAGGAAAAUAAAAAGAAAGCAAAAAAGCCUAUUUCUAGUCAAAUGUUAAACCAAUUGGUGUUAAGAGUGUUCUGCCAAGAACUAACUGAAUAAUGCAGUUUUGCAGUUCACACUUUCAUGCGUUCAUUACAGAGGCUUUUUUGGAUUUGCUGGAUGGUUGUGGUUAUUACUAAGACUGCCUUUUGUGUGUGUUGGGGAGAGGGUGCCAUGGAAUUUUUUUUUUGUGAAACGUUUCCUUGGUUAGUUUUUCACUUGUUGCUUUUUGUUUUCUAUCUGAAGUGGGGGAGGAAUGAGGAGAAGGAGGGCAGUGGGUAGGAAGAAGCAGUGAAUGCAGAAUAGGAAGCACUAAAAUUGAGCCUCCACCUGUUUUCUCUUUCUUCAAGUCAUGUUUUAUAUGAUGAUGAUGAUGAGGUCAACAGGGAGCAUAAAAAUGUGCCAGAAGAUCCAAAACUUGGAAGGAGAUUGUUCAACAUGAGUAGAAAAUACAUUUUAGUGCCCAUAAAGAAGCCCUCCCCCCAGUUCCCCCAGUAAAGCACACAAGCAGGCUUUCUGUGGGCAUUCCCUGGUAACCCACACAAAGAGCUGUUCAAACAGCUGUGCCUUCAGCUCAACAACAUCCAUGGGCUGCUGUGGAAAAUGCCCAUUUUUGUGCGUUUACUUCCUGAACUCAAAUUCAGCGGAAUAUACUUACAGUUAUUAAAGGGAGGGAUUUUGAGUCCUUAAUAAAUAUGCAGCAUCUUGGGAAAUGACUUACUUUGGUUGUCUGUAAUGAAUUAUUUAUAUAGUUGUUGUACCCAGGGAAUGAUUAAAGAGGGAUGAAAAAGCAGUGUUUGGAAAUCUAAUAAAGUUUAUUAGGCAACACCAGUCUAUCUAAAGCACCUAACAUCACAUUUUUUUAAUACCUAAGUAUUUUAAAAACAGAAAAGAGAACAAUUAAAAGACACCAGCACUACUGUGAUGCCUGUAUUAAGAGAUGUUAUGUUGAUCAAGUACAAUAGUGCUUUUCAUCACAACUUGGUUAUCUUAUGCUGACCUCUAUAAGCAUGAAUAAAGAGAUCUCUAUAUUUUUCAGCUUUCAGUGCCUAUUAAAAGAUAAUAUAAAAAGAGAAAUAACUAUCAGUAUAUGUAUAUAACCCUGAUAUAUUAUAUUUAUAUAAUACAACACAAAAUUACAGCAAACAUAAAUUUUUAUGUACUCUGAAAUUGGUUUCUAAUCAGUAGAACAGUGAGAGUCAAGAAGACAUUUAUCUAUAUUUUAUAAAUUUAAGAUUUUUUUUUCCUAGUUUGAGGAAUAUAUUUCGUAGUUGCUCUUUGAUAGUAAUGUCUGCUUUGACACAGUAAAAAGGUUGUUAAUAUCAAUUCACAUAUUUUUUUAUAAAAUGAAUGUUUGCAUAUUGCACAAGCAAGAUAAGAUUUAUGAAGUUUUCUGUAUUCUUUUUAAGUGUUCUAAUCCUA